Molecule: small nucleolar RNA, 91 nt
Filed under: Gorilla gorilla gorilla (western lowland gorilla)
Lineage: Eukaryota; Metazoa; Chordata; Mammalia; Primates; Hominidae
Also listed under: 1 other name
Source: RNAcentral
UACAUUCCAUGAUGUCCAGCACUGGGCUCUGAUCACUCCGGAGGACACAGUUUUCCCCAAGACCAUGGCUACCUGGGGAUCUGAGAGAAAA